GUGGGGAAUCUUAGACAAUGGGGGAAACCCUGAUCUAGCCAUGCCGCGUGAGCGAUGAAGGCCUUAGGGUUGUAAAGCUCUUUCAGCUGGGAAGAUAAUGACGGUACCAGCAGAAGAAGCCCCGGCUAACUCCGUGCCAGCAGCCGCGGUAAUACGGAGGGGGCUAGCGUUGUUCGGAAUUACUGGGCGUAAAGCGCGCGUAGGCGGACCAGAAAGUUGGAGGUGAAAUCCCAGGGCUCAACCUUGGAACUGCCUUCAAAACUCCUGGUCUGGAGUUCGAGAGAGGUGAGUGGAAUUCCGAGUGUAGAGGUGAAAUUCGUAGAUAUUCGGAGGAACACCAGUGGCGAAGGCGGCUCACUGGCUCGAUACUGACGCUGAGGCGCGAAAGUGUGGGGAGCAAACAGGAUUAGAUACCCCGGUAGUCC
RNAcentral lists this ribosomal RNA (425 nucleotides) under uncultured bacterium. Its description in RNAcentral is "partial 16S ribosomal RNA". It matches the Rfam family "Bacterial small subunit ribosomal RNA", at positions 354 to 796 of the family's 1533-position model. The record is from RNAcentral.